Molecule: unclassified non-coding RNA, 89 nt
Filed under: Pseudomonas gessardii
Lineage: Bacteria; Pseudomonadati; Pseudomonadota; Gammaproteobacteria; Pseudomonadales; Pseudomonadaceae
Source: RNAcentral
UGUGGGAGCGGGCUUGCUCGCGAUAGCGGUGUGUCAGCCAAUAAAUCUGGCACUGAUACACCGCUAUCGCGAGCAAGCCCGCUCCCACA